CAAGUUGAACGCUUGAUUUUCACCGAAGCUUGCUUCACCGAAAAUCAAGAGUAGCGAACGGGUGAGUAACGCGUGGGUAACCUACCUAUCAGCGGGGGAUAACUAUUGGAAACGAUAGCUAAUACCGCAUAACAAUGUUGGAUGCAUAUUCGACAUUUGAAAGUACCAACUGGUACACUGAAAGAUGGACCCGCGUUGUAUUAGCUAGUUGGUAGUGUAAUGGACUACCAAGGCGAUGAUACAUAGCCGACCUGAGAGGGUGAUCGGCCACAUUGGGACUGAGACACGGCCCAAACUCCUACGGGAGGCAGCAGUAGGGAAUCUUCGGCAAUGGACGAAAGUCUGACCGAGCAACGCCGCGUGAGUGAAGAAGGUUUUCGGAUCGUAAAACUCUGUUGUUAGAGAAGAACGUUGCAUAGAGUGGAAAAUUAUGCAAGUGACGGUAUCUAACCAGAAAGGGACGGCUAACUACGUGCCAGCAGCCGCGGUAAUACGUAGGUCCCAAGCGUUGUCCGGAUUUAUUGGGCGUAAAGCGAGCGCAGGUGGUUUCUUAAGUCUGAUGUAAAAGGCAGUGGCUCAACCAUUGUGUGCAUUGGAAACUGGGAGACUUGAGUGCAGGAGAGGAGAGUGGAAUUCCAUGUGUAGCGGUGAAAUGCGUAGAUAUAUGGAGGAACACCGGUGGCGAAAGCGGCUCUCUGGACUGUCACUGACACUGAGGCUCGAAAGCGUGGGUAGCAAACAGGAUUAGAUACCCUGGUAGUCCACGCCGUAAACGAUGAGUGCUAGUUGUUUGGGGCUAUCCAGCCCUAAGUGACGCAGCAAACGCAUUAAGCACUCCGCCUGGGGAGUACGACCGCAAGGUUGAAACUCAAAGGAAUUGACGGGGGCCCGCACAAGCGGUGGAGCAUGUGGUUUAAUUCGAAGCAACGCGAAGAACCUUA
This 941-nucleotide ribosomal RNA is filed under the name human gut metagenome. Its description in RNAcentral is "bacterial SSU rRNA". It matches the Rfam family "Bacterial small subunit ribosomal RNA", at positions 58 to 973 of the family's 1533-position model. The record is from RNAcentral.